Molecule: ribosomal RNA, 240 nt
Filed under: uncultured bacterium
Lineage: Bacteria
Description: partial 16S ribosomal RNA
Rfam family: Bacterial small subunit ribosomal RNA
Source: RNAcentral
UGGCGAACGGGUGAGUAACGCGUGAGGAACCUGCCUCAAAGAGGGGGACAACAGUUGGAAACGACUGCUAAUACCGCAUAAGCCCACGACCCGGCAUCGGGUAGAGGGAAAAGGAGCAAUCCGCUUUGAGAUGGCCUCGCGUCCGAUUAGCUAGUUGGUGAGGUAAUGGCCCACCAAGGCGACGAUCGGUAGCCGGACUGAGAGGUUGAACGGCCACAUUGGGACUGAGACACGGUCCAA